AAAUUUUUCCUUUUUACUUAAUUAUAUUGUAGUAGAGGUAACAGAACUGCUUCUCUGUUACCCAAAUUGGCUGUAGAAAUUAUGUUCCUAUAACACUCAUUUAAAGUCAGUAUUUAUUUAUGUAUGUAAUACAAAAAGAUUGGUCUUAUGUGUUUGUCCUGUUACUUAGAGAAAAAAAAUACACUUCUUGUAAAAACAAUUUGUAAAAAACUGUAAAUGUAAAUAGAGUCUGAUUUCUUUUACUCACUAUUUUCAUGUUUAGAAUUUGUACAUACUGUUUAGGUAAUAAACUACCCUACAUCAAAAUCUUGCUACAUCAUCUCCUCCAUACAGAAUUGAUAGUUUUAAGUUGAAGAGAGUCAUCUAAGAAAAAUCAGUGUCACACCAAGUACCUUUGCUACAUCUAAAUUUCAUUGUAAAAAUGUCAUACCAUUUUAUCCUCUGUUUACUACAGCAUUUUGUUUUCUUUAGAAAGUAAUCAAAAUAAUCUGAAAAUAAAUUUAGAUACAAUUUGAGUUUUUUACAUUGAAAAGCAAUCCUUGAAGUAAAAAAUCAGACUCAAGAAUUUCCCAUACCUUUCUCUGUUUCAGUGGGAUAGUUGACAGUGAAGAUUUGUUCACCCUUUGUUAUGCUGACUUAAUUAAAAUGUUACUGGAUCUAUGUCAGUGGCCUGAUCUUACAAGUCAAGAUUUUCAUAAUUGAUAUGAUGGUGAAAUCUAUGUGUACACCAAAUUUUUAGUAUUUUCUAUUUUAAAGUGCAGUAUCCCGUGGUUUAAAUUCUAUAUUUUUAAUAACUAUAAAUAUCUGUCUUAGUACAAACAUUUAACUGUUUCAAAUUGUCAUAGAUGUGCUAUCAUUCUCACAUGCAAUAUCUUUAGUUUGGGGAUGCUCCUUUGGCUUACCUAAUAAACGUUUAGAUUUUGUUAACUUGAACAUAAACUCCAAAAUUUCCUGUUUUUUUCUUUCUCAUUAGAAUAACUGCUUAAAAUUUUGGGUUUGGUUUUCCUUUUACAUAAAUGGAUAAUAUUUAGAAAACCCCAUGUAGUUAAAUUUCUCUGCAGGUUGGACUAUUUAAACUAUAUUUGUUAUUAUGAUUUAGUAAACUCAGACAAGAAUAAUACAUCGCCAUGGAUAGCCUGGGCCUGCAGAGCAGAGGGGAACUGCAGAGAGCUAUGAAGAUGUUCCCAGUCUCCCCUCUGGAGGGCAG
Molecule: long non-coding RNA, 1207 nt
Filed under: Athene cunicularia (burrowing owl)
Lineage: Eukaryota; Metazoa; Chordata; Aves; Strigiformes; Strigidae
Description: lncRNA (ENSACUG00000004535.1)
Source: RNAcentral